RNAcentral lists this ribosomal RNA (2900 nucleotides) under Enterobacter cloacae. RNAcentral's name for it is "bacterial LSU rRNA". It matches the Rfam family "Bacterial large subunit ribosomal RNA". Lineage: Bacteria; Pseudomonadati; Pseudomonadota; Gammaproteobacteria; Enterobacterales; Enterobacteriaceae. The record is from RNAcentral. RNAcentral also lists the same sequence under 1 other name.
UAAGCGACUAAGCGUACACGGUGGAUGCCCUGGCAGUCAGAGGCGAUGAAGGACGUGCUAAUCUGCGAAAAGCGCCGGCGAGGUGAUAUGAACCUUUGACCCGGCGAUGUCCGAAUGGGGAAACCCAGUGCAAUCCGUUGCACUAUCGUUAACUGAAUACAUAGGUUAACGAGGCGAACCGGGGGAACUGAAACAUCUAAGUACCCCGAGGAAAAGAAAUCAACCGAGAUUCCCCCAGUAGCGGCGAGCGAACGGGGAGCAGCCCGGAGUCUGAAUCAGCUUGUGUGUUAGUGGAACGGUCUGGAAAGUCCGACGGUACAGGGUGAUAGUCCCGUACACGAAAGCACACUUGCUGUGAACUCGAAGAGUAGGGCGGGACACGUGGUAUCCUGUCUGAAUAUGGGGGGACCAUCCUCCAAGGCUAAAUACUCCUGACUGACCGAUAGUGAACCAGUACCGUGAGGGAAAGGCGAAAAGAACCCCGGCGAGGGGAGUGAAAAAGAACCUGAAACCGUGUACGUACAAGCAGUGGGAGCCUCUUUAUGGGGUGACUGCGUACCUUUUGUAUAAUGGGUCAGCGACUUAUAUUCUGUAGCAAGGUUAACCGUAUAGGGGAGCCGAAGGGAAACCGAGUCUUAACUGGGCGUUAAGUUGCAGGGUAUAGACCCGAAACCCGGUGAUCUAGCCAUGGGCAGGUUGAAGGUUGGGUAACACUAACUGGAGGACCGAACCGACUAAUGUUGAAAAAUUAGCGGAUGACCUGUGGCUGGGGGUGAAAGGCCAAUCAAACCGGGAGAUAGCUGGUUCUCCCCGAAAGCUAUUUAGGUAGCGCCUCGUGAACUCAUCUUCGGGGGUAGAGCACUGUUUCGGCUAGGGGGCCAUCCCGGCUUACCAACCCGAUGCAAACUACGAAUACCGAAGAAUGUUAUCACGGGAGACACACGGCGGGUGCUAACGUCCGUCGUGAAGAGGGAAACAACCCAGACCGCCAGCUAAGGUCCCAAAGUCAUGGUUAAGUGGGAAACGAUGUGGGAAGGCACAGACAGCCAGGAUGUUGGCUUAGAAGCAGCCAUCAUUUAAAGAAAGCGUAAUAGCUCACUGGUCGAGUCGGCCUGCGCGGAAGAUGUAACGGGGCUAAACCAUGCACCGAAGCUGCGGCAGCGACACUAUGUGUUGUUGGGUAGGGGAGCGUUCUGUAAGCCGUUGAAGGUGUGCUGUGAGGCAUGCUGGAGGUAUCAGAAGUGCGAAUGCUGACAUAAGUAACGAUAAAGCGGGUGAAAAGCCCGCUCGCCGGAAGACCAAGGGUUCCUGUCCAACGUUAAUCGGGGCAGGGUGAGUCGACCCCUAAGGCGAGGCCGAAAGGCGUAGUCGAUGGGAAACAGGUUAAUAUUCCUGUACUUGGUGUUACUGCGAAGGGGGGACGGAGAAGGCUAUGUCAGCCGGGCGACGGUUGUCCCGGUUUAAGCAUGUAGGCGGAGGUUCCAGGUAAAUCCGGUACCUUUUAACGCUGAGGUGUGAUGACGAGGCACUACGGUGCUGAAGUGAUAAAUGCCCUGCUUCCAGGAAAAGCCUCUAAGCAUCAGGUAACACGAAAUCGUACCCCAAACCGACACAGGUGGUCAGGUAGAGAAUACCAAGGCGCUUGAGAGAACUCGGGUGAAGGAACUAGGCAAAAUGGUGCCGUAACUUCGGGAGAAGGCACGCUGAUGUGUAGGUGAAGCCCCUGCGGGUGGAGCUGAAAUCAGUCGAAGAUACCAGCUGGCUGCAACUGUUUAUUAAAAACACAGCACUGUGCAAACACGAAAGUGGACGUAUACGGUGUGACGCCUGCCCGGUGCCGGAAGGUUAAUUGAUGGGGUUAGCGGCAACGCGAAGCUCUUGAUCGAAGCCCCGGUAAACGGCGGCCGUAACUAUAACGGUCCUAAGGUAGCGAAAUUCCUUGUCGGGUAAGUUCCGACCUGCACGAAUGGCGUAAUGAUGGCCAGGCUGUCUCCACCCGAGACUCAGUGAAAUUGAACUCGCUGUGAAGAUGCAGUGUACCCGCGGCAAGACGGAAAGACCCCGUGAACCUUUACUAUAGCUUGACACUGAACACUGGUCCUUGAUGUGUAGGAUAGGUGGGAGGCUUUGAAGCGUGGACGCCAGUCUGCGUGGAGCCAACCUUGAAAUACCACCCUUUAAUGGCUGGUGUUCUAACGUAGACCCGUAAUCCGGGUUGCGGACAGUGUCUGGUGGGUAGUUUGACUGGGGCGGUCUCCUCCCAAAGAGUAACGGAGGAGCACGAAGGUUGGCUAAUCCUGGUCGGACAUCAGGAGGUUAGUGCAAUGGCAUAAGCCAGCUUGACUGCGAGCGUGACGGCGCGAGCAGGUGCGAAAGCAGGUCAUAGUGAUCCGGUGGUUCUGAAUGGAAGGGCCAUCGCUCAACGGAUAAAAGGUACUCCGGGGAUAACAGGCUGAUACCGCCCAAGAGUUCAUAUCGACGGCGGUGUUUGGCACCUCGAUGUCGGCUCAUCACAUCCUGGGGCUGAAGUAGGUCCCAAGGGUAUGGCUGUUCGCCAUUUAAAGUGGUACGCGAGCUGGGUUUAGAACGUCGUGAGACAGUUCGGUCCCUAUCUGCCGUGGGCGCUGGAGAAUUGAGGGGGGCUGCUCCUAGUACGAGAGGACCGGAGUGGACGCAUCACUGGUGUUCGGGUUGUCAUGCCAAUGGCACUGCCCGGUAGCUAAAUGCGGAAGAGAUAAGUGCUGAAAGCAUCUAAGCACGAAACUUGCCCCGAGAUGAGUUCUCCCUGAGACCUUGAGUCUCCUGAAGGAACGUUGAAGACGACGACGUUGAUAGGUCGGGUGUGUAAGCGCAGCGAUGCGUUGAGCUAACCGAUACUAAUGAACCGUGAGGCUUAACCU